UACGUAGGGUGCAAGCGUUGUCCGGAAUUAUUGGGCGUAAAGAGCUCGUAGGCGGUUUGUCGCGUCUGCUGUGAAAACCUAAGGCUCAACCUUGGGCUUGCAGUGGGUACGGGCAGACUAGAGUGCGGUAGGGGUGACUGGAAUUCCUGGUGUAGCGGUGGAAUGCGCAGAUAUCAGGAGGAACACCGAUGGCGAAGGCAGGUCACUGGGCCGCAACUGACGCUGAGGAGCGAAAGCGUGGGGAGCAAACAGG
RNAcentral lists this ribosomal RNA (253 nucleotides) under uncultured bacterium. Its description in RNAcentral is "partial 16S ribosomal RNA". It matches the Rfam family "Bacterial small subunit ribosomal RNA", at positions 524 to 776 of the family's 1533-position model. The record is from RNAcentral.